ACGCUCGACACCUACGGGGGCAGCAGUGGGGAAUAUUGCACAAUGGGGGAAACCCUGAUGCAGCGACGCCGCGUGAGUGAAGAAGUAUUUCGGUAUGUAAAGCUCUAUCAGCAGGGAAGAAGAUGACGGUACCUGAGUAAGAAGCCCCGGCUAACUACGUGCCAGCAGCCGCGGUAAUCUGAGGCGGGCUGGCAAGGC
RNAcentral lists this ribosomal RNA (198 nucleotides) under uncultured bacterium. Its description in RNAcentral is "partial 16S ribosomal RNA". It matches the Rfam family "Bacterial small subunit ribosomal RNA", at positions 328 to 539 of the family's 1533-position model. The record is from RNAcentral.